This is a long non-coding RNA of Osmerus eperlanus (European smelt), 261 nucleotides long. RefSeq lists it as uncharacterized. The transcript has 2 exons. The record is from RefSeq and is a predicted model, not a curated record. NCBI's taxonomy places the organism in Eukaryota, Metazoa, Chordata, Actinopteri, Osmeriformes, Osmeridae.
GGUCUUCUGACCAAUCACCUAUCACAGACCUCCCUCUCUGGGGGGGGACAGAACUUGGUGUGGGCAGAACUCUCUCUGAUCUCUGUCACGACCACUUUCUCAACGAAGGCCUUCGUUUGUUCUAUUCUGAGACUCUGUUAUGAGACUGCUGUUGCAUCAUCGACUGAUUCAUUGUACUAGACUACAAACAUCCUGGUGUGUUGUUUUCAUUGUGUAUCUUGUGAUUGCAUCAUUACUUACAUUAAACUACAAAUAACUUGG